RNAcentral lists this long non-coding RNA (3110 nucleotides) under Gallus gallus (chicken). Lineage: Eukaryota; Metazoa; Chordata; Aves; Galliformes; Phasianidae. The record is from RNAcentral.
GCGAACCGAGCCCUCCCUCCCCCGGCCCGCUGCUCAUCCCGCUGCAGUCCCAUCCCAACCGGCGCUCCGUGGGCACCGCGCCGGGCCGCAGCCCCGAGCAAAGCACCAAACGCGUCCGAACACAUCUCCAACUUUAUUGGCGGCGCUACAGAGCCCGGAGCCGACCCGGUGCGGCGGGACGGGACCCCGGCACGGGACCACAGCACAGCCCCGCGGCGCUGGGACGGCUCCUCCACACCCGGCCCGGUCUGGUCGCAGCACUACUUGGACCUCUGUCGCAUCUUCCUCCUCUUGCGCUUCAGCCUGCGCAUUCGCUUCUUGCGCCACUUAGCCCUCAUGGCGGCGCACUCGCGCCGCGCUUAGUCCCGGUGCGGCGGCGACGGCGCUGGCGGCGGAUGGAGGCGGAUGGCGGCGGCCACCAACAGCCGACAAGAUGGCGGCAGCAGCGGCCGAGAGAAAUAGUGCCGCCCGCCGUGGCUUAUUUAUAGGGCAGAGUCCGAGGCCACGCCCCCCUCCGCGCAAGGCAUGCCGGGAUCCGUAGUCGGCCUCCCCCGCAGCAUGCCGGGAGCUGUAGUCCUGAGCCCGGCCGCCAUUUUGCACAGCGCGGCCCUUCCCGUCCCGGUGCGCAGCGAACCGAACAGAACCGAACCCUCCCGCCCCAAUCAGCAGAGCCACGUCUCCGUGCAAAGAGAUGCCACGAGUCAGCUUUAUUUGGAAAACAGAGUCGGUUACAGAGAUCUUCUCGGGAGCAUUUGCUUUUCAAAAUCUUAAAACAAGUGGGUUUUCCGUUCCUUGUAUCAAGAGGUACAAUAACGUACGUAAAAAUAGAAAAUUAAAUACACCUCCAGCAAGUCUUAGUGGUUUAGAAAUCCGCGGGGUGAGGAGGAAGGAGGAGCUCCGCAUGGACACAAUAUUGCUUAAAAACACCCAAGGGUUCCCCAGGGGGGGCAGCGGAGGUGGGGGCGGUGGGACCGAAAGCUCUGCGUUGUGCCAUUCAUCCCAACGGGGGCUGCUGUCAGGUGCAGCACAGGGCACUGCCUGCAGAGCAACGCAUGCGGGACCUUCAGCACUCAGCCCCACGCGUGGCCGGUUGGGCACCACCAGCGAAGGAAAGCCCUCUGCAUCCCAACACGUGAAACCCAACGUCUGUCGGUGGGUUUGUUUCCCCCUUUAAAAAAGCUUGCUGUAGAAGAGUUGGCAGCCCCGGCUUGCUCUCAGCCUGCACCCACCGACUGCAUCAUCAUCAUCAUCAUCAUCAUCAUCAUCAUCAUGAAGAAGGGAGCCCAGCAGCACAGCACGGAGCAGCUGCCCGCCCCUCCGUGCAGCACUGGGCACUGCCUGCUUCCCCAUUUCAAAACAAGCUCACCACAGCAAUCUAUUUAAAAAUAGAGUGUUUAUAGGUAAACCAAGGCAGAGACAGGGCGCAGCGGAUGGGACAGUCUACAGUCUCACCAGGGACAUCAAAUUCAGGUUGGUUUCUUUUUUUUCCCCCCAAUUAGAAACGUACAAUCUGAAGGCUAAAAGAGUGAGAAACGCUCUGCCUCGAGGUAACGGGCAGAGAUCCUGCACGGCCGGCAGCUCUGCAGGCAGAUCCCAAACACAGGUCGCUUUUCUGAGGGCAUUAUCAGCUAUUUUGUUUUUUGUUUUCCUCCAAGAAAAUCUGCAAAAGGGAUAAAAUUAAAAACAACCAAAAAAAAAGAGGUGGAAGAAGAAAGCAGGCAGCUCUCCACGCUCCCUCUCUCAUCGGGGAUGGCUUAGUUGUUCACCUCUUUUAACAAGUAUGAGUAGUAUAAAAGGUUAGAAAGAUAUAGACUAGCUUUUACUCCUGAUUUUAUUUUCUUUUUUUUUUCUGCUCUCUUUUUGAAGUAGUCUGAAGUGGCAGAGAGAAUCCUCCCUCAUUGGCAAAAAUCAAGAGGAGCUGGUUGUAGUCAGUGGGACAUCCAGGCUGUUUGCUGUUUGAGACAAACAGUGCUAGAUUUUGUUUCUGGUUCUUUUUUGGGAGGGGGAGGGGGGGGGGAAGGGGUGUGUGUGUGUGUGUGUGUGUGUAUGUGUGAGAACUGGGUGCUAUGAAGGAGCAGGAGCUGCUCAGUCACCAGCCUCGUUCUCUUCCGCCGUCUCUCCUGUGGUGGCAUUCUCUGCAUUCUUGGAGGCCUUCUUUUUCUUCUUUUUCUGGGUCUUCCGGCUUGCAGAACUUUGUAGAAGGGCCUUCAGCUCUCCAUCUUGCACCUCAAACUCCGACUUGUAGAGCUCAGGUUCGAAGGGGCCACUGGUUAUCCUCAUAGGACCAUUAGGCAUUAAAAGCACUGUGAAUUUGAACUGUGCAACAAACUCUCCUGCAAAGCAGAAACAGGCAUUACUGCACCGUAGCAAUUCCAACUCCUGUGCCACACUGUCACUGCUGCAAACCAUCUUGUGGGAACUCCCUGGUAAGCAAACCAGAGGGCUUCAUCAGUCUCUCUUGUCUGGGGAAUUACUCUAUGAGAAAUCUCAACUCAUCACUGGAACAAAUCCAAAACAAGACCUAGAAGCCAACAGGUCGUUGAGUUUCCUGGAGGGUGGAUGCCAGGGCCCUCAAAGCAUUUCUCUGGCAUUGAAACAGCAGCAGUCAGCAUGAGGCUGGGGAAGUGCUCAACGCCAGGUUCACAUCCAGCUCCCAGCCCUCCCCUCAGCAGCACUCACCUUCCUUUUCGUAGAGGACGUUGAAGGGCUGGAGCAGCUCAUGUUUGGCGCAUUCCACCACCCCCAUCCUGGCCUUCUUCUCAUCUUCAAAUGCCCUGAGAGUAAAUGGCAUAGUAUCAAAGCGCCUCUCCACCUCGCUGAAAAAGGCACGGGAGGUUUUCAUCUUCAAACCGUACUGUUUGGAGGGGUCCCUUUUGUAAAUUGUAGUUCUCUGCCCAGCAUCCUUUGCCUGAAAAUGCAAAUGGAGGUGAGAGCAGGGAAGGAGCAGAGCAGCACUUCCUCGAGCACAUCAACCAACAGCCCGUGUGUGUCAGGGCAGUUCCAUCUGACAAGAGCUGUCCGUAUUGUGAUGCUGUAAAAGCACACCUUAAAUUUCUUGAUGGAAAAAUCUACACCCAAAAAGUCAGACAGGUUCCCAUCUGGGAUUGGCA